Molecule: ribosomal RNA, 441 nt
Filed under: uncultured bacterium
Lineage: Bacteria
Description: partial 16S ribosomal RNA
Rfam family: Bacterial small subunit ribosomal RNA
Source: RNAcentral
CCUACGGGAGGCAGCAGUAGGGAAUAUUGCUCAAUGGGGGAAAGCCUGAAGCAGCAACGCCGCGUGGAGGAUGAAGGUUUUCGGAUUGUAAACUCCUUUUGUUAGAGAAGAUAAUGACGGUAUCUAACGAAUAAGCACCGGCUAACUCCGUGACAGCAGCCGCGGUAAUACGGAGGGUGCAAGCGUUAAUCAGAAUCACUGGGCGUAAAGCGCGCGUAGGCGGGAUAGCAAGUCAGAUGUGAAAUACUAUGGCUUAACCAUAGAAUUGCAUGUUAAACUGUUAUUCUAGAGUAGGGGAGAGUGAGGUGGAAUUCUGGGUGGAGGGGUAAAAUCCGUAGAGAUCAAGAGGAAUACUCAUUGCGAAGGCGACCUGCUAGAACAUAACUUACGCUGAUGCGCGAAAGCGUGGGGAGCAAACAGGAUUAGAUACCCCCUGUAGUC